GCCGCUUUAGCUCAGUUGGUAGAGCACAUCAUUCGUAAUGAUGGGGCCACAGGUUCGAGUCCUGUAAGCGGCACCA
RNAcentral lists this transfer RNA (76 nucleotides) under Erythrobacter sp. RNAcentral's name for it is "tRNA-Thr". It matches the Rfam family "tRNA". Rfam says of the family: Transfer RNA (tRNA) molecules are approximately 80 nucleotides in length. Their secondary structure includes four short double-helical elements and three loops (D, anti-codon, and T loops). Further hydrogen bonds mediate the characteristic L-shaped molecular structure. tRNAs have two regions of fundamental functional importance: the anti-codon, which is responsible for specific mRNA codon recognition, and the 3' end, to which the tRNAs corresponding amino acid is attached (by aminoacyl-tRNA synthetases). tRNAs cope with the degeneracy of the genetic code in two manners: having more than one tRNA (with a specific anti-codon) for a particular amino acid; and 'wobble' base-pairing, i.e. permitting non-standard base-pairing at the 3rd anti-codon position. RNAcentral also lists the same sequence under 47 other names. The record is from RNAcentral. Lineage: Bacteria; Pseudomonadati; Pseudomonadota; Alphaproteobacteria; Sphingomonadales; Erythrobacteraceae.